UGAGUAACCUGCCCUGGACUUUGGGAUAACCCUCGGAAACGGGGGCUAAUACCGGAUAUGACGGCUCACCGCAUGGUGUGGUUGUGGAAAGUUUUUCGGUCUGGGAUGGGCUCGCGGCCUAUCAGCUUGUUGGUGGGGU
Molecule: ribosomal RNA, 139 nt
Filed under: uncultured bacterium
Lineage: Bacteria
Description: partial 16S ribosomal RNA
Rfam family: Bacterial small subunit ribosomal RNA
Source: RNAcentral